AAACUUGAGCUAAUACCGGAUACGUCCGAGAGGAGAAAGAUUUAUCGCCGAAGGAUCGGCCCGCGUCUGAUUAGCUAGUUGGUGAGGUAACGGCUCACCAAGGCGACGAUCAGUAGCUGGUCUGAGAGGAUGAUCAGCCACAUUGGGACUGAGACACGGCCCAAACUCCUACGGGAGGCAGCAGUGGGGAAUAUUGGACAAUGGGCGCAAGCCUGAUCCAGCCAUGCCGCGUGAGUGAUGAAGGCCUUAGGGUUGUAAAGCUCUUUUACCUGGGAAGAUAAUGACGGUACCAGGAGAAUAAGCCCCGGCUAACUUC
RNAcentral lists this ribosomal RNA (316 nucleotides) under uncultured Alphaproteobacteria bacterium. RNAcentral describes it as "bacterial SSU rRNA". It matches the Rfam family "Bacterial small subunit ribosomal RNA", at positions 154 to 504 of the family's 1533-position model. Lineage: Bacteria; Pseudomonadati; Pseudomonadota; Alphaproteobacteria. The record is from RNAcentral.